Pipra filicauda (Wire-tailed manakin) is the source of this 379-nucleotide long non-coding RNA. RefSeq lists it as uncharacterized. NCBI's taxonomy places the organism in Eukaryota, Metazoa, Chordata, Aves, Passeriformes, Pipridae. The transcript is spliced from 2 exons. The record is from RefSeq and is a predicted model, not a curated record.
CUUUAAACUAAAUAUCUACAAUUUUUUAUCCAGUGGUGUUUGAAGAGAACAACCCAGCUACAAAAUCAAGUGUAGACUGGGAAGAAGAGCAGGUGGAAGGGGAAGAGCUAGAUCUUGUUUUGUGAGACCCCCAAACCCUGCACCAAGGCUUCCUGGCUACCGAGCAGAGUUCGAAGACUCAAUGCAUUGGAAGGGGAAUGUGGAAGGAGUGAAACAGGCCUCUACGGUCUUUGGAAGCUGGCCAGGGGUGAGGCCAUUGGAUCUAUAUUUAGGAGGGGUUUCACUUAAUAGGGCUUGCAGCUGUGCAUAGGUUGGGGUGUGAAUUCCAUCUCUCCCGACAUACAAAACCAAAGCUUUAUUAAAGAAGCAGUGACUUCGA